CAUGACAACAUGCUGAACAGAUUCCUCCAUCAUCAUAAUGGCUUGAAUGUACUCUGAAAACAAGAAUAACCUGGGAUGUCACUGUUCAAGUUAAAAGAUAAGUCAAGACUUGAAGUUUAAUACUCUAUAAACCCUUGCAAGCAGUUUUCUGUGUUCGGAUUCUUCCUCAGAAUCCCCUGUUCAUGGCUACUCUGCCCCAAAUAUGUGCCACAGAUCCAAAAAUGGAAGACAGAAGUAUUAAAUAAAUGGACAUGACAGGUACCCUAAAGUUAUAGUACAGAGCCUCUUACGUAUGAAAUGUACAUUACCAUUGGACCUAUCUACUGGAAUGCUGAACAUAAGCCUCUCCCCAGAAGAGCAGCAGACUGAAGGCAGACACCAUGGCUGGUGAG
Myodes glareolus (Bank vole) is the source of this 392-nucleotide non-coding RNA. The record is from RefSeq and is a predicted model, not a curated record. NCBI's taxonomy places the organism in Eukaryota, Metazoa, Chordata, Mammalia, Rodentia, Cricetidae.